CCUACGGGAGGCAGCAGUGGGGAAUAUUGCACAAUGGGCGCAAGCCUGAUGCAGCCAUGCCGCGUGUGUGAAGAAGGCCUUCGGGUUGUAAAGCACUUUCAGCAGUGAGGAAAGGUGUGUUGUUAAUAGCAACAUGCUGUGACGUUAACUGCAGAAGAAGCACCGGCUAACUCCGUGCCAGCAGCCGCGGUAAU
RNAcentral lists this ribosomal RNA (194 nucleotides) under uncultured bacterium. Its description in RNAcentral is "partial 16S ribosomal RNA". It matches the Rfam family "Bacterial small subunit ribosomal RNA", at positions 338 to 524 of the family's 1533-position model. The record is from RNAcentral.